Oncorhynchus tshawytscha (Chinook salmon) is the source of this 1194-nucleotide long non-coding RNA. The record is from Ensembl. Lineage: Eukaryota; Metazoa; Chordata; Actinopteri; Salmoniformes; Salmonidae.
GAAAAUGUACUUGUGUCAUGCACAAAGUAGAUAUCCUAACUGACUUGCCAAAACUACAAUUUGUUAACAAGAAAUUUGUGGAGUGGUUGAAAAACAAGUUUUAAUGACUCCAACCUAAGUGUAUGUAAACUUCUGACUUCAACUGUAUAUUAUAAUUUUUUGAAUUUUAGGGGGUUAACUUAGGGUUAGGAUUCAGGAGAUAGAGGUUAGUUACAGAGUGAGACUGAGGGCUGAGGUUUAGGGGGUUAGCUUAAGGUUAGGAUUCAGGAGAUAGAGGUUUUUACUUUUUUAUUUUUUAUUUUUAUUUUUUUAUUUUUUUAUUUUUUUAUUUUUUUAUUUCACCUUUAUUUAACCAGGUAGGCUAGUUGAGAACAAGUUCUCAUUUGAAACUGCGACCUGGCCAAGAUAAAGCAUAGCAGUGUGAGCAGACAACACAGAGUUACACAUGGAAUAAACAAUUAACAAGUCAAUAACACAGUAGAAAACAAAGGGGGGAGUCUAUAUACAAUGUGUGCAAAAGGCAUGAGGAGGUAGGCGAAUAAUUACAAUUUUGCAGAUUAACACUGGAGUGAUAAAUGAUCAGAUGGUCAUGUACAGGUAGAGAUAUUGGUGUGCAAAAGAGCAGAAAAGUAAAUAAAUAAAAACAGUAUGGGGAUGAGGUAGGUGAAAAUGGGUGGGCUAUUUACCAAUAGACUAUGUACAGUAGCAGCGAUCGGUUAGCUGCUCAGAUAGCUGAUGUUUGAAGUUGGUGAGGGAGAUAAAAGUCUCCAACUUCAGCGAUUUUUGCAAUUCGUUCCAGUCACAGGCAGCAGAGUACUGGAACGAAUGGCGGCCAAAUGAGGUGUUGGCUUUAGGGAUGAUCAGUGAGAUACACCUGCUGGAGCGCGUGCUACGGAUGGGUGUUGCCAUCGUGACCAGUGAACUGAGAUAAGGCGGAGCUUUACCUAGCAUGGACUUGUAGAUGACUUGGAGCCAGUGGGUCUGGCGACGAAUAUGUAACGAGGGCCAGCCGACUAGAGCAUACAGGUCGCAGUGGUGGGUGGUAUAAGGUGCUUUAGUGACAAAACGGAUGGCACCGUGAUAGACUGCAUCCAGUUUGCUGAGUAGAGUGUUGGAAGCCAUUUUGUAGAUGACAUCGCCGAAGUCGAGGAUCGGUAGGAUAGUCAGUUUUACUAGGGUAAGCUUGGCGGCGUG